Molecule: long non-coding RNA, 1475 nt
Organism: Oncorhynchus tshawytscha (Chinook salmon)
Lineage: Eukaryota; Metazoa; Chordata; Actinopteri; Salmoniformes; Salmonidae
Source: Ensembl
UGGGGAUCAGAAAUGUCCCGUGCAAGAGAGGCAGGUUAAGGUUUCCAGGGUUACAUGCUGACCAGACCGGACACAUCGCGUGCGCGAGCGUACAUUUAGAAAACCAUGCUAUUCAAUUAUUGCACCCACACUCCCCACGUGCGUCAACGAGCGUCUGCGAUGCCAAGGGCUAAAGUAGAAGUCAUUCCAAAUUCUGACGCAGAUCGCACUGAAAGUCCUGCCUCUCCCACCUCCUCAGUGGUUUAUAGAAGCAGGUACCCAGGUGCCAUUUCCUCAUUGGUUAUACCCACAUGGGUGAUUGAACGUCUAAAUGUUUUUCCGGUUGUCGUGGUAAAAGUGUAGAUGCCAAUCACCAUAUAAAUUCAAAGAUGAGAAAGCCUGGAAGGAGGAGAGAUGACUACAACCGAUUUGGUUGGCCGUUUUAUGUGUGGAUUAAUUGUCGGAGUAGAAGACCUUGUGCAUUUCAGUAUGUGGAGUCCAGACAGUGGUCCUAAACUGCUGAAGGAGAUGGGGAUGCAGGAGGGUGUUACUGACAGGCCAUGUCUACCCAGAGGAGUACAAGCAGCUGUUUGAACUGGUGGAGUGGUUCCAGGAGUUCAUUCAGAGCUGGUUGUAUGAGGAGAUACUGGAGAACACCCAGAAAGAGGGCUGGCUCUAGACACACAGCGGCACCACCAGGACUGGAGGGAUAGUGCAGCCGGGAACUGGGCUGAAAAAACAGAGGCUGCUUGAAGCUACAGAUUCUAGAGGAAUCUAAACCCCUGAGAUGUUGGACUAGUGAAUCACACCUCAUGUCAUGGUUUAGGAUUGUCCUGGGCGGAUGUUGAGAUGUGACACUUUUGGUAUUGGACCUUUUUUAAAAGGAGCUAUGUGUAGAGAUGCUUGUUUAAAAGCCACUAGGUGUCUAAAAGUUGGUCGGUGAAAGGCAGCAGAGACUACACCAUAUAGGCCAUUUUCUAAAGGGUUGAUGAUGGAUAGCAGCAGAAAGGUGACUUUAUUGGCAAAGCAAGGUUGUAACGAGACAAGAUGUGUUCGAACCGUUCGAUCACAUUUUGUCACACUGUGUUAUCCACAGGUUUUUACUGUAGGUUUUUUGCUAACGCAGCACAUGAAGUUAACUGGUUCAUAAUAAUGUGUGAUGAAUGGUACCUACUGCUUGUAUAAUUUAGUGUACAUAUGUAGCAUGUUUGCAUGUACGGACAGUUCAUUCAAUAACAUACACAGUUUGUGGGUAUUUGAGCCUCUUCUGAAUGCUAGGUACUCAAUGUCUGACAGGUUCAGUCACUCAUGAUCAGUAUCAUUCUGUGGUCACUGGUCGUCAUAUCUGCCUGUAGUGUUUCCGAUGGAUAAAGAUAGUGGAUAAUGGAUAAAGAUAGUAUUGUGUUGUUCUCGUGUGUGCUAAGGGCAUUUCAAUUGCCAUAUUGAAUUGUUUCAUUCCAUAAGCAUUGGAGGAAAUGUGAUUGUAUCAAAAUAAA